UUUUCUUUUCUAGCAUGUCAUAACCUGUUAUAUUUUAAUAAAUGACAAGCCUGUUAUUACGAAAGCACCCCUAACGAGCAAAGUAAGUGGACCAGUCAACGGAAACGAAUGCUAUUUUUGGAGAACCACGGGUUGCGUUUACGGUGACAAAUGUCUCUACCAUCAUAUAAAACAGAACAAAGGAAUAGAUAAAAAAGCCUGGCACGAUAAAAAAUAAUAUAUUUUCCAUAUUUUAGAUUAUAAAAAAAAUUUAUAAACCCAACAAAAUACUAUUUGAAAAAUUUUGUACCAAGCCAAACGUUUUUGUCGUUUUUUUUUUUUGUUUUCUUUUGUUCGGACUUCGUCUCCAUAUUUUGGGAUUCAAAAAAUAUCCAAUUUUAUCGCAUGUUAUUGUUUUAAACGUUUCCAAAAGUUCAACAUUACUUAAAAUAUUUUAAAAUAAUUAUAAAAAAAAUAUAAACAAUUUCGGUUGGUGACGUGUCCGGAUAACUUCACGUGGCAAAAGUCCUUUGUUUUGUUCUGUACGCGCUUUCUGCCUGGAAUUUUAUUUUUAUUUAUUUAUUUUAAUGAUUUAUCGGUCAAGAUGAACAUUGAAUGACUGUACAGACAAGUUUUGCUACUCAGAUUUUCUUAUUCUUUUCGCUCUUUCUCACUCGUAACAAAUUUUCCUGUGGUCGAUCCGAAUGUGCCCUAAAGAUUUCACACAAACAAAAUAUUUAUACAAAUAUCUACCGCUAUUUUCUCAAUGGUAUGUAAGAUACAAAGUUGCAUUUAUCAUUUGUUUUUUUUUUUUUUUUCAAAAAAAUACUUGAAUUUUGGUGUAAGUACAAUUUUUGUUUCUCUCGCUUUAGCUGUAAGUUUAGUCUCUUUUAUAAAUUUAAUUUUAUUAUGAUAUACUUGAAAAUAGUAAUAAAGUUAUAUGUUGUUUAUAACUUUAGUAGUUCUGGAUUUGUGCUUCUUUAUCACUGGAAUUUAAUCUUCGUUCCGAGUUUUGCAAAGCGAAACAAAGAUGUCGGGAGUGGUGAAAUAUUAUCGUUUAUAAUUCGGUUGUUUGCUUAUCAUUUUAUGAAUAAUUCGCGUGGUUUAUGCCAAGUACAGUAAAUAAUGAUCCUUAUAGUUGUUGUGUGUUAAUUUUAUACGUAUAUUUGAAAUCACAAUAAACACACGUAAGCUAGUUUAUAUGUAUAUAAGGAUA
This is a long non-coding RNA of Centruroides sculpturatus (bark scorpion), 1195 nucleotides long. RefSeq lists it as uncharacterized. The record is from RefSeq and is a predicted model, not a curated record. The transcript is spliced from 2 exons. NCBI's taxonomy places the organism in Eukaryota, Metazoa, Arthropoda, Arachnida, Scorpiones, Buthidae.